AUUGAACGCUGGCGGCAUGCUUUACACAUGCAAGUCGAACGGCAGCACGGACUUCGGUCUGGUGGCGAGUGGCGAACGGGUGAGUAAUACAUCGGAACGUGCCCAGUUGUGGGGGAUAACUACUCGAAAGAGUAGCUAAUACCGCAUGAGAACUGAGGUUGAAAGCAGGGGAUCGUAAGACCUUGCGCAACUGGAGCGGCCGAUGGCAGAUUAGGUAGUUGGUGGGAUAAAAGCUUACCAAGCCGGCGAUCUGUAGCUGGUCUGAGAGGACGACCAGCCACACGAGGACUGCGACACGGCCCAGACUCCUACUGGAGGCAGCAGUGGGGAAUUUUGGACAAUGGGCGAAAGCCUGAUCCAGCAAUGCCGCGUGCAGGAUGAAGGCCUUCGGGUUGUAAACUGCUUUUGUACGGAACGAAAAGCUUCGGGUUAAUACCCUGGAGUCAUGACGGUACCGUAAGAAUAAGCACCGGCUAACUACGUGCCAGCCGCCGCAGUAA
This 500-nucleotide ribosomal RNA is filed under the name uncultured bacterium. RNAcentral describes it as "partial 16S ribosomal RNA". It matches the Rfam family "Bacterial small subunit ribosomal RNA", at positions 30 to 523 of the family's 1533-position model. The record is from RNAcentral.